CAUUGAGUAUCAUGGGAAGUGUAGUCUCUGCAAUCCUUCCAAUUCCUAGUUAGAUUGUUUCGGUAGGCUUUGAGAGAUCAAAGCUGUUUGUCCAAACCAGUUGUAAAUUUUGAAUUACUGUAGUCUGUAAUUGUCUUCAGAUUCCGAAGACUGGCUAUCUUCACUUUACAAACAGAACUUGGCAUGAGCCUGUUAGAGCUGAAUUCUCUGCUUUUUAACACCAGGAUUGAUUCUCCCAAGCAACCUCCUUCCAGAAGCCAGGACAUAACAGGAUGAAGACAUGACAUUUCUCAAAAGACUAUCAAAAGGCUUUGGGACAUUAUUCAGUGAUCAAAACCAGAUACUUCUAACCCUUGAACCACCAUUCAAGAUUUCAAGUCUAUCUUUGCAAAAGCUUUCCCUUCCCAACAUACUCUAAAUGUUUGCCAAUUUAGAGUAAAUUAGUAAUGAUAAUAAUAAUAAUAAUAGCUACCAUUUAUUGAGCACCUACUCUAUUGUGUGCCAGGCACUGUGCUAGGCACUUUUCGUACAAUAUCUAAUUUAAAUCCUCACAACAACCCUGUGAGGUAGGUAUUAUUAUCAUCAUUUUACAUACAGGAGGACUGAGGCUCCAGAGAGGUUAAAUAACUAUUACACAACCAAAAAUGGUAGAGCUGGAAUUCAAACCCAAACCAACCUGACUCCAAAUCCCGUGCUCUGUAAAUUAAGAAGGAGGAGAGGAACAGCUGAACUUCAGAAAGAGUGCCAGAGUGGAAGGGUGUGAUAUGCUGACUAAUACCAUGUAGGAAGAAGGAAUUUAAGCCCAUAAAUGUUCCUGGCUGGUGGGCCUAUGCAGAUUGUGGUGAAAGUCACCAGGGCAGGGAUUCAAGAGGAAUAAUACUGGGCUAGGGACAUAUGGACAUGCCUCUGGAGAUGUCCAGUGGGUAAUAAAGAGAUCUAAAGAGUGGGGGAAGCUGGGGUUGGAAAUUCAUGUUUAGAAAUGGCCAGCAUAUCAAAAGCAAUUGAAAAGAGAAUGGAUGACACUAUUUUGGCAAAGAAAGAGCAGUGAAUCAAAGAUGGGAUCAUGGAACGCUGGCAUCCAAUGCGUGAGCACUGUAGCGGGGUUCUUGAGAAUAUGGCAGAGUCAGGGUAUUGGAGACAGGUAAGACUGAGUCAUGCUUCUAACAUAGCCCUUUGUUCAUUAAAAUCCUAGGAGAUAUUUGUUAAAUGAAUGAAUGUCAAAAUAUCCCUACCUUAGUUUGCCCUCAAGCGUGGGCUAAGGAUAUCUUGAUGGGGGAGGCAUUUUCUGGGGACUGAACCCCAGGGCACACUAGGCAAGCACUCUACUACAGAGCUACAUCUCCGGCUCUGACACCCUUGCCCUGAAAAUGAGUCUGGGUAAGUCAGUACAGUUUGUAGUGGAGUUUUAAAGAGAAAAUUGUGAUGUAAGGUGGAAAACAAUUUUAAAAAGAACUGGAACCGUCUGGAAGUCCCAGUGGUCCUCUUGUGUGACUUCAACGGUCUGUGCUUCCUGCCUCUGCUCUCAGGAAUCAUGGUGAAGAUGAAGGCAGGGCAGCAGAUAAGGACAUGUGGGGGCAGGAGCGAAGUAGAGAACCUGUCAGUUACUGGAGAGCCCUCUGUGGAGCCCCAACUUGGGCUUUAUCCAAGUACCAAUGUAUUGAGAACGUGUAUGGGAGGCUCCAGGGCAAGCAGGCAGGGGAGAGGGCAGUUAGGGACCAGCCCCACUAUCUAGGAGAUGACUUGGAGAAAGGGUCCAGCCCUCUGGGCAGGGACCAGCCCUGAGGCUCAAGUAAACUUGCAUAGACGUGUGUGUGUGUGUGUGUGUGUGUGUGUGUGUGUGUGUGUGUCCGUAUGUCUGUCUGUCUGAGGGAUGGAAAGAAAACUUCUCUACUUCUCUCUGGAAAGAACAUGGUCUGUCAUGCUUGGGUGAAGCUGUGGUCCUUCCCAGAAG
Non-coding RNA from Cricetulus griseus (Chinese hamster), 1951 nucleotides. The record is from RefSeq and is a predicted model, not a curated record. NCBI's taxonomy places the organism in Eukaryota, Metazoa, Chordata, Mammalia, Rodentia, Cricetidae.